This 468-nucleotide ribosomal RNA is filed under the name uncultured bacterium. RNAcentral's name for it is "partial 16S ribosomal RNA". It matches the Rfam family "Bacterial small subunit ribosomal RNA", at positions 28 to 507 of the family's 1533-position model. The record is from RNAcentral.
GACGAACGCUGGCGGCGUGCUUAACACAUGCAAGUCGAACGGAAAGGCCCUGCUUUUUUGGGGUGCUCGAGUGGCGAAGGGGUGAGUAACACGUGAGUAACCUGCCCUUGACUUUGGGAUAGCUUCACGAAACUGGGGCUAAUCCCGGAUAGGAGCUCCUGCUGCAUGGUGGGGGUUGGAAAGUUUCGGCGGUUGGGGAUGGACUCGGGGGUUAUCAGCUUGUUGGUGGGGUAGUGGCUUACCAAGGCUUUGAAGGGUAGCCGGCCUGAGAGGGUGACCGGCCACAUUGGGACUGAGAGACGGCCCAGACUGGUACGGGAGGCAGCAGUGGGGAAUAGGGCACAAUGGGCGGAAGCCUGAUGCAGCGGCGCCGCGUGCGUGAUGACGGCCUGCGGGUAGUAAACCGCUUUCGCCUGUGACGAAGCGGGAGUGACGGUAAUGGGAGAAGAAGCACCGGCUAACUACGUG